GCAAAUGACAUGGGGUGCCCGGUGCGACUCGCGCAGGGCUGAGAGAACACCCAUCGAACCUGAUCUGGGCCAUGCUAGCGAAGGGAUCGUCAUGACCGACAUCG
RNAcentral lists this non-coding RNA (104 nucleotides) under Brevibacterium casei. Its description in RNAcentral is "TPP sequence". It matches the Rfam family "TPP riboswitch aptamer (THI element)". Rfam says of the family: Vitamin B(1) in its active form thiamin pyrophosphate (TPP) is an essential coenzyme that is synthesised by coupling of pyrimidine and thiazole moieties in bacteria. The previously detected thiamin-regulatory element, thi box was extended, resulting in a new, highly conserved RNA secondary structure, the THI element, which is widely distributed in eubacteria and also occurs in some archaea. Analysis of operon structures identified a large number of new candidate thiamin-regulated genes, mostly transporters, in various prokaryotic organisms. The record is from RNAcentral. RNAcentral also lists the same sequence under 1 other name. Lineage: Bacteria; Bacillati; Actinomycetota; Actinomycetes; Micrococcales; Brevibacteriaceae.